Columba livia (rock pigeon) is the source of this 2890-nucleotide long non-coding RNA. RefSeq lists it as uncharacterized. NCBI's taxonomy places the organism in Eukaryota, Metazoa, Chordata, Aves, Columbiformes, Columbidae. The record is from RefSeq and is a predicted model, not a curated record. The transcript is spliced from 4 exons.
UUGUUUGGAACUGACAUGAAUUUCAAACUCGCUCCCACUCUGCUCAUUUUCGCAGGGAGUUCGUGAAACAUGGGAGGCCGUGGGGUCGCGAUCUCUAUCAAUCAAUAGAAGCAGAGAUUUCUUUGUAGGCCGUCUGGCAUCAAGGUCAAAACUCAGCUGUGUACUUUAAGAUUUUUCUUUAACUUCUCAGGAUUUUUUAGGAGGUUUUUGGUCAUUUAUACGUAAGAUCUGAGGAUUUUGCUUCCUAGUGGCUAGUUUGCCGCCAUGUAUCUUUAAAGCAUGUGCUAAAUGGGUGCCGUUUUCUUUGUACAGGAAAGGUGAGAGUGAGACAGUGCUGCUGAUUCCUGACCCCUUGGGUGAAGACUAAACCGCACGUGGAAAGCAAGCAGCGUUAUUUAAAGGGACACGGAGAUAAAAUACAGUGGUAUGAUGGAUACAACGGCUGAAAAACGAGAUGGAUCCAUCCAUCUCAGACUUUCAAUGGCUCCCAUUACUCACUUGAUUCCAGUCUCCCAUUUUCAGGAAAAUUCUGAGUGUGCCGCAAGGAGAUUUGCUGCCCAUUUGUACAGCACUGCUGAGAAGGGAAAAUGGGGACAAAAGGGAGAAUGAUCCCAUUUGAGGCUGGGCACAGGCAGAGCCAGGAGAGGUUCCCGCUUGGUGUUUUUGUCCCGUUCCCCAGCCGAGAGCCCGAGUCCCAGCUCAGCAGUGGGACAUGGCAGGUAGAGCUGCAGCCCAAGCACAUGGUCAGUGUUAGCCCGUGUGGCUUUGGCUCUCCAGCUGGUUUGCUCUGAAAAGAAACAUGCAGCAGGAAGGAAAAAAUGGCUCCGUGACAAGUGUGUUUCCAUCAGCCCAGCUUAAACAGACCGCGAUGCUUUGGGACCUUUCCUGAUAAUUAAAAGCAGCGUGAUGGCUCUUUGCUGGUGAGAAUUUAUUCUGUCACUUGGCCUUAAAGAACUAUCCUUGUCAAGCAGUGUCACACGCUGGUGUCAGGGCUGUGCUCGCUCCGGUGUGGCUGUUUGUGAUGGUCCCUGUUUGCUGUAUGUACACACGGGCAGUCAGGGCUGGCUCCUGUCCCUGUCGCCGCCUGUCCUUGUCACCCUCUCAUCACCUGGCCUGUCCCUGAACAGCAACACGCUGCACUGGGGUCGCAUUGGAGGAAUUCGCAUCCGUUCCAGGCAAACGCUUCCCAUCAACAAGGCAGCAUCGCUGCCAGCAGGCAGUUGCCAUGGCAAUGCGGUUCUGUAAUGGCCCAAGCAGAUGAUUAUUGUUAUUUAUUAUUUUAAUCUCACCCUGGUCCCCUCUGCAGAGCCGAAAUGGAUAUGGGCAGAGCGUGGGUGCAGGAGGAGAGCGUGGGGGGCGAUGUCCCACACCAGCACUGUCCUUCAGUCGGAGGGGACCAGUGGUGGCGCAGGGCUUGGUGUCAGGGACAGGACCGCGCUCUUCUUGGGAUGCUGGGGGGUACCACAGUGGAGUUGCCUCGCCCACGGGGGCUGUUUUGGUGCUACCAGAACACCAUGCCAGCAUCGGCAUGGGGACAUUGGAGCCGUUUGAAGGCAGGCAUCACUCCCUCCAUUUAGAUUCAGGCUGUUUAAAAGGUUUGUCUCCAUGCAUGGUACGAGCACGCUGUCCCCAGCCUGCUGCUCGCUGUUCCAGCUCGGGAGAUGCCUGCAGCUGGUCGAGCACAUUUCUCUUCCUGUUACUGUUCAUUUGUUGGUAUCGGAGCAGCAACAGGUGCCCCAGUGUGUCCAGAGGUACAGGCAGAGGGACUUGUGGGUGCUUCAAAGGGCACUGCACACAUUGGUACUACUUGGAUUGCAAGCGAAGGGAGAAAUCUGUGCCAAACACCACGAGUGGCAUCGCCUCUGAGUGCCAGCUUGAACAGAGAGAAGGGCUUGAAUUUGGGGGCUGAAGUCACGGUGUCACAUCAGCUUUCUGCAGAUGGGGUGGUAAAGCUUCACCAGCACAGACCCCCCUCACUGUGGGACGUUCACCUGCGUGGGGUGUGCGGGGCGCACACGCCACGAGCUCUCCGCACACCCACGGGCUGCUGUGUUGCUGAGAGCUCAGCACGUCCCACGCUGUGCGGGGACCCCGGUGACAGCCCAAGGUCACCGGGAUGUCACAGCAGACCUUGGAAUUGAGAUUUCAUCUUCUCAAGCUGCUCAGUGCUUUGCUCUCAAAGCCAUCCUUCAUCCUUCCUAAGGGAAGGGACCGCCUCGCCCAGAGGCACACGGAGCUUUUCAUAUACGCGGUAUCAAUCUCUGUAAGGAAAGCACUUUUAUAUUGAAGAUCUGAUAGAGGAAUAAAUUCCCAUAGAAGUAGAAAGCAGAAGCUAAUAGGUUUUUUCACAAUGAAAGAAUAGAUGUGCUGACAAAGGCAUUUCCAGGGCAUCAAAAUAAACUGUAUUUUCUGUGAAGACCAGGGCUCUUCCAGAGCUCCUCUGCCAGCAGUCCGGCCGGGAACAGCCUCUGGGACCAGCCGUCCCUGGGACACUCGGCCCGGCCCCAAGCUCAAUCUGGGGUCACCCCGUCUGUCACCCAUGGGGAGCAGUCCUGUGCGUGGUCUAUCUUGGGUCAGUUAUCUCCCCCUUUGCUCCUGGUCCUUCUGCCCAUCCCCUGUGUGCCCGGGGAUGCGAGAGCAUCCGACCUGCCUUGCCAGCGCCCAUCCGCUCCUGGUCCUCUCUGUUACAGGAUUCCAGAGCCUUGCUCUGGUUUUCCUUUGCUUUUUUUAUCCCGCUGCGUUCCUCCCGAUUCCCUUUGCUGGCUCUGAAUUUGCUUUUUGGGUGAGCACAUCGCUGCCCCAGCAUACAGCUCCAGUGUGGUACCUGAAUCCCCUGGGUCCUGCUGUGGUCGGAGCACCAGCGAUGGUCCCAGCUGCAUCUUCUAGGGGG